RNAcentral lists this transfer RNA (66 nucleotides) under Sepiadariidae sp. GS-2020. RNAcentral's name for it is "tRNA-Ser". The record is from RNAcentral. Lineage: Eukaryota; Metazoa; Mollusca; Cephalopoda; Sepiida; Sepiadariidae.
AGCUUAGGUUUGGUCAAUAAAAAUUUUGAAAAUUUUUAGGAAGUGCUUCGAUACACUUAUAAGCUU